GUAGGGAAUCUUCCACAAUGGACGAAAGUCUGAUGGAGCAACGCCGCGUGAGUGAAGAAGGGUUUCGGCUCGUAAAACUCUGUUGUUAAAGAAGAACAUAUCUGAGAGUAACUGUUCAGGUAUUGACGGUAUUUAACCAGAAAGCCACGGCUAACUACGUGCCAGCAGCCGCGGUAAUACGUAGGUGGCAAGCGUUGUCCGGAUUUAUUGGGCGUAAAGCGAGCGCAGGCGGUUUUUUAAGUCUGAUGUGAAAGCCUUCGGCUCAACCGAAGAAGUGCAUCGGAAACUGGGAAACUUGAGUGCAGAAGAGGACAGUGGAACUCCAUGUGUAGCGGUGAAAUGCGUAGAUAUAUGGAAGAACACCAGUGGCGAAGGCGGCUGUCUGGUCUGUAACUGACGCUGAGGCUCGAAAGUAUGGGUAGCAAACAGGAUUAGAAACCCUAGUAGUCCC
RNAcentral lists this ribosomal RNA (451 nucleotides) under uncultured bacterium. RNAcentral's name for it is "bacterial SSU rRNA". It matches the Rfam family "Bacterial small subunit ribosomal RNA", at positions 354 to 797 of the family's 1533-position model. The record is from RNAcentral.